This 437-nucleotide ribosomal RNA is filed under the name uncultured bacterium. RNAcentral's name for it is "partial 16S ribosomal RNA". It matches the Rfam family "Bacterial small subunit ribosomal RNA", at positions 341 to 792 of the family's 1533-position model. The record is from RNAcentral.
ACGGGAGGCAGCAGUGGGGAAUAUUGGGCAAUGGGCGAAAGCCUGACCCAGCAACGCCGCGUGAAGGAAGAAGGUUUUCGGAUUGUAAACUUCUGUCCUUGGUGACGAAGGAAGUGACGGUAGCCAAGGAGGAAGCCCCGGCUAACUACGUGCCAGCAGCCGCGGUAAUACGUAGGGGGCAAGCGUUGUCCGGAAUGACUGGGCGUAAAGGGCGUGUAGGCGGCCGAUUAAGUCUGAAGUGAAAGUCCUGCUUUCAAGGUGGGAAUUGCUUUGGAGACUGGUUGGCUUGAGUGCGGAAGAGGUAAGUGGAAUUCCUAGUGUAGCGGUGAAAUGCGUAGAUAUUAGGAGGAACACCAGUGGCGAAGGCGGCUUACUGGACUGUAACUGACGUUGAGGCUCGAAAGCGUGGGGAGCAAACAGGAUUAGAUACCCUGGUA